UUGUAUCUCACCACUUUCCAGUGGCAAACUGUGUGAACUGUACCUCUGCAGUAGUGGCAACUACCGCGGGCGGAUCUGGCGCUAGGCGGCGUCGCUCCAGUGAUGGGGUGACUUGCGCAACGCCGGUGAUGUCUGCUGCAAGUGCUGCUACGCGUACUUUCGACGUACCAACCACAACAACCAUUCAAACUUACUUAACUUUAAAUCAAAUA
This 212-nucleotide unclassified non-coding RNA is filed under the name uncultured fungus. RNAcentral's name for it is "sequence contains ITS1". Lineage: Eukaryota; Fungi. The record is from RNAcentral.